CACUCCCACAUGCAGCUCCUCGUGGUGCUUUAUCCUCAGAUGUGAGAUGGUCUAGAAUGGGUGUAACACAUGGUCCACAGUGUAGCUUAAUCCUUCUGCUCUGGCUCACUGGUUUAACUAGCGGGGCUGAUGUCACCCAGCUUCGCACAAUGUGGAAGCACCAGGGUGAAAAUGCAGAAAUAAGCUGCAGCCACAAUAAGGGUGCUAGCUACUACCAGAUGUACUGGUACCGGCAGCUGCCGGGACAAACCAUCAAACAAAUGGUGUACACCACUGCAAACAGCCAACCAGAGUUUGAACCCGAGUUCAGAAGCGAGAAAUUCUCAGCCACCAAGAAAGAAGCCGAGAGCGGGACGGUCACCGUGACGGAUGUGCAGCCGGGAGACAGCGGCUGGUAUUUCUGCGCCGUCAGUGAGCACAGUGACGAAGACGCACUGAGCAGCUGAACAAAAACCCCGCAG
This is a non-coding RNA of Betta splendens (Siamese fighting fish), 461 nucleotides long. NCBI's taxonomy places the organism in Eukaryota, Metazoa, Chordata, Actinopteri, Anabantiformes, Osphronemidae. The record is from the annotation of a RefSeq genome assembly.